UGGAUACAAAAUGGCUACAGUUAUG
This 25-nucleotide non-coding RNA is filed under the name Rattus norvegicus (Norway rat). Lineage: Eukaryota; Metazoa; Chordata; Mammalia; Rodentia; Muridae. The record is from RNAcentral.